RNAcentral lists this ribosomal RNA (576 nucleotides) under Methylobacterium sp. H9.44. Its description in RNAcentral is "bacterial SSU rRNA". It matches the Rfam family "Bacterial small subunit ribosomal RNA", at positions 84 to 695 of the family's 1533-position model. Lineage: Bacteria; Pseudomonadati; Pseudomonadota; Alphaproteobacteria; Hyphomicrobiales; Methylobacteriaceae. The record is from RNAcentral.
UUCGGGUGUCAGCGGCAGACGGGUGAGUAACACGUGGGAACGUACCCUUCGGUUCGGAAUAACGCAUGGAAACGUGCGCUAAUACCGGAUACGCCCUUUUGGGGAAAGGUUUACUGCCGAAGGAUCGGCCCGCGUCUGAUUAGCUAGUUGGUGGGGUAAUGGCCUACCAAGGCGACGAUCAGUAGCUGGUCUGAGAGGAUGAUCAGCCACACUGGGACUGAGACACGGCCCAGACUCCUACGGGAGGCAGCAGUGGGGAAUAUUGGACAAUGGGCGCAAGCCUGAUCCAGCCAUGCCGCGUGAGUGAUGAAGGCCUUAGGGUUGUAAAGCUCUUUUGUCCGGGACGAUAAUGACGGUACCGGAAGAAUAAGCCCCGGCUAACUUCGUGCCAGCAGCCGCGGUAAUACGAAGGGGGCUAGCGUUGCUCGGAAUCACUGGGCGUAAAGGGCGCGUAGGCGGCCAUUCAAGUCGGGGGUGAAAGCCUGUGGCUCAACCACAGAAUUGCCUUCGAUACUGUUUGGCUUGAGUAUGGUAGAGGUCAGUGGAACUGCGAGUGUAGAGGUGAAAUUCGUAGAU